RNAcentral lists this ribosomal RNA (468 nucleotides) under uncultured bacterium. RNAcentral describes it as "partial 16S ribosomal RNA". It matches the Rfam family "Bacterial small subunit ribosomal RNA", at positions 28 to 507 of the family's 1533-position model. The record is from RNAcentral.
GACGAACGCUGGCGGCGUGCUUAACACAUGCAAGUCGAACGGAAAGGCCCUGCUUUUGUGGGGUGCUCGAGUGGCGAACGGGUGAGUAACACGUGAGUAACCUGCCCUUGACUUUGGGAUAACUUCAGGAAACUGGGGCUAAUACCGGAUAGGAGCUCCUGCUGCAUGGUGGGGGUUGGAAAGUUUCGGCGGUUGGGGAUGGACUCGCGGCUUAUCAGCUUGUUGGUGGGGUAGUGGCUUACCAAGGCUUUGACGGGUAGCCGGCCUGAGAGGGUGACCGGCCACAUUGGGACUGGGGUACGGCCCAGACUCCUACGGGAGGCAGCAGUGGGGAAUAUUGCACAAUGGGCGGAAGCCUGAUGCAGCAACGCCGCGUGCGGUAUGACGGCCUUCGGGUUGUAAACCGCUUUCGCCUGUGACGAAGCGUGAGUGACGGUAAUGGGUAAAGAAGCACCGGCUAACUACGUG